AUACGGAGGAGGCAAGCGUUGUUCGGAAUCAUUGGGCUUAAAGCGCGUGUAGGCGGACCAGUAAGUGUCUUGUGAAAGCCCUCGGCUCAACCGAGGAAGUGCUGGGCAUACUGCCGGUCUUGAGGCAGGUAGGGGCGGGUGGAACUCUAGGUGGAGCGGUGAAAUGCGUAGAUAUCUAGAGGAACGCCGGUGGCGAAAGCGACCCGCUGGGCCUGUUCUGACGCUGAGACGCGAAAGCGUAGGGAGCGAACGGGAUUAGAUACCCCAGUAGUCC
This 274-nucleotide ribosomal RNA is filed under the name uncultured bacterium. RNAcentral's name for it is "partial 16S ribosomal RNA". It matches the Rfam family "Bacterial small subunit ribosomal RNA", at positions 523 to 796 of the family's 1533-position model. The record is from RNAcentral.